This 789-nucleotide ribosomal RNA is filed under the name uncultured Streptococcaceae bacterium. RNAcentral describes it as "bacterial SSU rRNA". It matches the Rfam family "Bacterial small subunit ribosomal RNA", at positions 74 to 849 of the family's 1533-position model. Lineage: Bacteria; Bacillati; Bacillota; Bacilli; Lactobacillales; Streptococcaceae. The record is from RNAcentral.
CUUGCUACACCAUAGACUGUGAGUUGCGAACGGGUGAGUAACGCGUAGGUAACCUGCCUAUUAGAGGGGGAUAACUAUUGGAAACGAUAGCUAAUACCGCAUAACAGUAUGUAACACAUGUUAGAUGCUUGAAAGAUGCAAUUGCAUCGCUAGUAGAUGGACCUGCGUUGUAUUAGCUAGUAGGUAGGGUAAAGGCCUACCUAGGCAACGAUACAUAGCCGACCUGAGAGGGUGAUCGGCCACACUGGGACUGAGACACGGCCCAGACUCCUACGGGAGGCAGCAGUAGGGAAUCUUCGGCAAUGGGGGGAACCCUGACCGAGCAACGCCGCGUGAGUGAAGAAGGUUUUCGGAUCGUAAAGCUCUGUUGUUAAGGAAGAACGAGUGUGAGAAUGGAAAGUUCAUACUGUGACGGUACUUAACCAGAAAGGGACGGCUAACUACGUGCCAGCAGCCGCGGUAAUACGUAGGUCCCGAGCGUUGUCCGGAUUUAUUGGGCGUAAAGCGAGCGCAGGCGGUUAGAAAAGUCUGAAGUGAAAGGCAGUGGCUCAACCAUUGUAGGCUUUGGAAACUGUUUAACUUGAGUGCAGAAGGGGAGAGUGGAAUUCCAUGUGUAGCGGUGAAAUGCGUAGAUAUAUGGAGGAACACCGGUGGCGAAAGCGGCUCUCUGGUCUGUAACUGACGCUGAGGCUCGAAAGCGUGGGGAGCGAACAGGAUUAGAUACCCUGGUAGUCCACGCCGUAAACGAUGAGUGCUAGGUGUUAGGUCCUUUCCGGGACUUAGUGCCGU